RNAcentral lists this long non-coding RNA (299 nucleotides) under Brassica napus (rape). RNAcentral's name for it is "long non-coding RNA (BNAP_LNC019430)". Lineage: Eukaryota; Viridiplantae; Streptophyta; Magnoliopsida; Brassicales; Brassicaceae. The record is from RNAcentral.
AGAUGGUGAAAAUGAAAGCUUUCCAGCGACCAUAUGAGCGCUUGAAACUUGGCUUCUUCCAAUGAUCUAGUAUUGAAGAAAGCCCUUCUGCUAUGAAACCGUACCUUUCCCCUUUCAUCUCUAACUACCCAUGCUGCACCAUUUUUUGCUUGAGCUUUGUUCCAAUCAACUCCAAUAUUCCUUUUCAUCCAACCUCGUGGGGGACCUGACCAUGACUUCUUUACAACCACCACUGCCUCAUGUUUUUCCUUUUCCUUCAUUUCAUCAUUUUUCUGCGCCAUCAACCAAAACUCAGCUUC